GUGGCUUAGUGGUUAGAGCGUCCGCCUUGGAUGCGGAGAGUCGCUGAUUCGAACUCUGGACAAGUCA
Non-coding RNA from Potamilus streckersoni, 67 nucleotides. Lineage: Eukaryota; Metazoa; Mollusca; Bivalvia; Unionida; Unionidae. The record is from the annotation of a GenBank genome assembly.